UUUAAGGUUUAAUCUGCUCAAUGAUUAUUUAAAUUGCCGCAGUAUUUUGACUGUGCAAAGGUAGCAUAAUAAUUAGUUUCUUUAUUGGGAACUGGAAUGAAUGAUUGGACGAGAAAAUUUCUGUCUCUUUAUUAUUUUAAUUGAAUUUUACUUUUAAGUUAAAAGGCUUAAAUUUUAUUAGAGGACGAGAAGACCCUAUAGAGUUUAAUUUUUAUUUAAAUAAUUAUUUUUAGUAUUUAUAUAUAUUAUUUAAAUAAAAAUUUAGUUGGGGUGACUAAAAGAUAAGAAUAACUCUUUUAAUUUUUAUCAAUUAUUUUUGAUUAUAAAAUCUUUAUUUUUAAUUUUAAAAUAAAUUACCUUAGGGAUAACAGCGUAAUUCUUUUUUAAAGUUCUUAUUAAAAGAAGAGUUUGCGACCUCGAUGUUGGAUUAAAAUUAAUUUUAGGUGUAGAAGCUUGAAANNNNAGUCUGUUCGACUUUUAAAAUUUUACAUGAUCUGAG
RNAcentral lists this ribosomal RNA (499 nucleotides) under Pteroptyx tener. RNAcentral describes it as "partial large subunit ribosomal RNA". It matches the Rfam family "Archaeal large subunit ribosomal RNA", at positions 1973 to 2678 of the family's 2987-position model. The record is from RNAcentral. Lineage: Eukaryota; Metazoa; Arthropoda; Insecta; Coleoptera; Lampyridae.